GACGAACGCUGGCGGCGUGCCUAACACAUGCAAGUCGAGCGGGGUUCCCUUCGGGGAACUUUAGCGGCGGACGGGUGAGUAACACGUGGGUAACCUGACUCAUAGAAGGGGAUAGCCUCCCGAAAGGGAGAUUAAUACCGCAUAACAUCAAGCUAACGCAUGUUAGUUUGAUCAAAGGAGUAAUCCGCUAUGAGAUGGACCCGCGGCGCAUUAUCUAGUUGGUGAGGUAACGGCUCACAAAGGCGACGAUGCGUAGCCGACGCUGAGAGGGUGAUCGGCCACAUUGGAACUGAGACACGGUCCAGACUCCUACGGGAGGCAGCAGUGGGGAAUAUUGCACAAUGGGCGAAAGCCUGAUGCAGCAACGCCGCGUGAGUGAAGAAGGCCUUCGGGUUGUAAAGCUCUGUCUUUUGGGACGAUAAUGACGGUACCAAAGGAGGAAGCCACGGCUAACUACGUGCCAGCCGCCGCCGUAA
This 476-nucleotide ribosomal RNA is filed under the name uncultured bacterium. RNAcentral's name for it is "partial 16S ribosomal RNA". It matches the Rfam family "Bacterial small subunit ribosomal RNA", at positions 28 to 523 of the family's 1533-position model. The record is from RNAcentral.